UGGGGGAUAUUGCACAAUAGGCGAAAGCCUGAUGCAGCGACGCCGCGUGGGGGAUGAAGGCCUUCGGGUUGUAAACUUCUUUUGCUCUGAACAAGGCGCACCAUGGGGUGUGUUGAGUGUAGGGGUUGAUUAGCGCCGGCUAACUACGUGCCAGCAGCCGCGGUAAUACGUAGGGCGCGAGCGUUGUCCGGAAUUAUUGGGCGUAAAGGGCUUGUAGGUGGCUGGUUGCGUCUGUCGUGAAAGCUCAUGGCUUAACUGUGGGUUUGCGGUGGGUACGGGCUGGCUUGAGUGCAGUAGGGGAGGCUGGAAUUCCUGGUGUAGCGGUGGAAUGCGCAGAUAUCAGGAGGAAUACCGGUGGCGAAGGCGGGUCUCUGGGCUGUUACUGACACUGAGGAGCGAAAGCAUGGGGAGCGAACAGG
This 419-nucleotide ribosomal RNA is filed under the name bacterium. RNAcentral describes it as "partial 16S ribosomal RNA". It matches the Rfam family "Bacterial small subunit ribosomal RNA", at positions 355 to 776 of the family's 1533-position model. The record is from RNAcentral.